This 967-nucleotide long non-coding RNA is filed under the name Ictidomys tridecemlineatus (thirteen-lined ground squirrel). RNAcentral describes it as "lncRNA (ENSSTOG00000034436.1)". The record is from RNAcentral. Lineage: Eukaryota; Metazoa; Chordata; Mammalia; Rodentia; Sciuridae.
UCUCUCACACACACACACACACACACACACACACACACACACGCUCAUACUCAGGUACAUGUUUGUACCCACAAUGACUAAGGAGGUCAUUGCCAAAUUCUGUAUUGCCAGGCUCUCCAGGCACAUCUGAGUUUCCUUGUGUCAAAAGGAGCGUUUCCAAGCUCAUUGGUCUGUUGCCAUGGAAACACUCAGGCUUCCAGAACUCUGGGCUAGGGCCUGCCCCCCAUGGUGCAGAGGAGGAGAAGAGAGCUGAAGGGUGACAGAAAGAAGAUCUCUCCAGGCCAAAGGAAUGGAAAAGAGAUGUCAAAACAAAGAUUUAUGGCCAGAACCAGGUGGAGGGUAUUAGAUCACUUCCUGGGUCACCAGGGGUUUUUGAGAGGUAAAUGGCUGUGGAUUCUCAAGAAAUCUCUGCCUAAGUCCAGCAUGUGUGCACACCUUCUGCCAACUCCCCACCAGAAGUGAUCAGACCUAGAAAGCACCGUUUUGUGACCAGGGUCAGGUACCCUCCCUGGAGCAGGGAGCAGGGAAAUUGCCAGGCUGACCCUGGGAAAACCUACAGACCAAGGGUUCCAACCUGAGCUUCUGAAAUGACAUCUGGAAAGGCUGAUGGAGCUAUUUAUUGAUCAGGAGUGAAAAGGGGCUCAAGUGGGAGUUGGGUUCAGGAGAAGGGAAGCUCACCUGGCUGCAGUGUUCCCUGGACUAGGCCACGAUGGCCUCUUGAGACCUGCUUCAGGCUUCCCUGCCCUUGUUUUCAUCCAGAGUACUGUGGAGUUGAAAGAGAAUACUAAGUCCCUAGUCCCCAAACUCUGAAAUCCCCAAGUAUUCUUGCAGGGGCUGAGGGUGGGGCUUCCCAGUGACCUAUCUUUCUCUGACCUCUCUCCCAAACUGACCCCACCAGCCCUAUAUCCUUGAUUAAUUACACUGUUUUUCUGUCCCAGCCAGAUGAGUGAUCAAUAAAUAAUGCUGC